AGUGCAGCACGCAAAGCGCUAAAAAAUACAAAACAAAACACGCACGCGGCAGGAAAAGCGGAAAAUAACAAUAAAAUGCCGCCUAGGAGAAGUAAAAAAGGUGCAAAUCGGAAAAGCCCGGGUCACGAUCCAUCAAGAUCAGUUAGGAUCCUUAAAAAAGUUAUAUCUUUGAAAUAAAAAAUAUGUUUUCUUCAAAACGACCGUAAUUAAUCAAGUGUCAAGCGUCAAGGAAAGCAAAAGUCCCUCUUGACCACUCCAGAAAACAGGAUUAGAGCCAAGUGGGAAAUGCCAAGGAAAGGCUGGAGCCAAGGGAAGCCGCAGAUGGCGACAGAGAUUAGAACUGAUAUGCCUAUCUUUCAAUUUCAUCACAAAACACCCAUCAAGAGCGGUUAAUUAUUUAAAUACAUAAACGAACUACAAACUAACUUCGAGCACAUGAUUUGAAUUCUGUAAGUUCUCAAUGGAGCCCUGUAAAAGCCUGCGAAGCACCUACAAACGGCGAUUAAUUAGUUAAAUACACAUAACCGCGCACAUGAUUUCACUUGAACCAAAGAUUAAGGCCUGACCGACUAAUUUGACGACGAGUGUAAAUGCGCUUGGCCAGCAAAAGUGCAAAAAGUCGUAUGAAAAAUACUCGUAUAUUGCCCAUAUCGUACGUACUUUGCCUUGUCGCUUGCUGUUUACUUCACUGUAUACUGGAUACUGGGAUACUGGAUACUGGCACUGGAUACUCUGGUGGUACUACUGCCUGUGAAAAUCGCCUCGAACGAACUGAGACCGCCGAGACUGAACAAAAUGUACUGGUACUGGCUGCUACUACGGCGGCUAUAGGCAAGCGAACUGAACUGAAAUUCAACUGAAGCAGCUGUACCAGGCAAUGGCCAUAGCCAGCUAUACAGAAACCCAACCAAACCGAACCGAAACCGAAACAGAAACACACAUAGCGCAGGGUGGAGAGAGCGAGAGGGGUGCAGGGGAGGGGGGAGGCGGCACAGCACAGCACACACAGCACACAGCACAGCACAGCAAAAGCAAAAGCAAAAGCAAAGGCAGCGACGAACAGCGAGACCAUCAAAUAGCACGGAGUACGUACGUACAGGCAGCCAAAGCAAAGUAUCUGUAUCUGAGAGUCGAACAACCCAGGCAGUCGACCAACCAACACACAGGGCGCUUCGGGGUAGGCGACUGUGUUCGCACAGUGGCGGGCCUUCGGGUGUGCACGGCUCAGGCUUCGCGACUCAUUUGCCUGCUCGCACACUGCUGGGCCGGCAAAUUAGAGGCACAGCGCAUGCACAGUGGAGGCACAAAAUAUUGAAAAUGCCUUUGUUUCAAAAUGUUAAACAGCUUGGUUAUAAUUUCAGGGCUUGAAAAAGGGGAUUUCAAAUGGGCCACAAAGAAACAUUUUUUUUAUAAUUUAAAAAAAAAAAUAAAUAUAUAUCCCUUUGAAACUCUAUUAAAACCAAACAUAUUUAAGACUGUCCCCCACCAAACACCCUAAAAUUUAACAAGAUGCGCAUGUAUACGACUAUUUUUGCCGCGACUGUACAUAUAAAAAGCAUGGAGCUGUGAGAACGAAUUGCCAGCAGUAUUUGGCGGCGCCGCUUUCCCCUCUCCGUACCCUCCAUCCCCUCCAAUCCCCCUCCUCCCUACUCAAUACCCCAGAGCUCGUCAGAAACGUCGUCACUGCCGCCCGCCCACCUGUGUACCGCCCACCCCGUCCCCGCAGAAAUUAAGAAAAAGUAAAGCACUCCUACUUCAGCAAUUUGUAUCUUCCACUCAUCAGCCAUCAUUAAAACUUAUGGGCAUACAUUGUAGCUUUUCCUUGUUUUUUUCCAAAAAAUCUUUAACCUAGAAUAUUGAUUUGACAUUUACAUUUCAAUCGAUUGAAUAAUCAGCCCAGCGAAUCAGCUCACAUCGCCAAUGCGUUCGCAUUUCAAAAAAUAACCGUCAAUAUUUCGCGCGCGCCCUCCAUUCAAAAUUUCAAUUCAAUACGAGCACGAUGUGGACGACGAAAGCCACCUAACCAAAAGGCGAAAGCAGCCAAUGGCUCUAUGUGGGACCCCAAGUAUAGUGGUAGAGUGUAUAACCCACGCUGCCACCAAAAAUUGGGUCGUUCGGUUUAUUUAGCAAAAUUUAUAUAAUAAAUGGCCACCGUGGCGCUAUAUCUUGACCAGAUUAUUUCGGCGAGACAAUAACGAAUCAAUCGUAGUGAAGCACUUGACACUCACCCGUAUGAAAAAGUCGCGUAAUUUGCGUUUUAAUUGCAGCAAAUCGAGAAAAUCUGCUCGCUUUGGUUCAGUUUCAGUACAACUGCCUCGGUUCACUGUAUAAAAUUUUUCUUUCCACUGAAAACCCAAGCAAGUCGCUUGAGCGUAGUACAGCUUUUGCCUUUGGAAUAUGAAA
Drosophila suzukii is the source of this 2403-nucleotide non-coding RNA. NCBI's taxonomy places the organism in Eukaryota, Metazoa, Arthropoda, Insecta, Diptera, Drosophilidae. The record is from RefSeq and is a predicted model, not a curated record.